RNAcentral lists this non-coding RNA (29 nucleotides) under Homo sapiens (human). Lineage: Eukaryota; Metazoa; Chordata; Mammalia; Primates; Hominidae. The record is from RNAcentral.
UGAAAAUGGCCAGUAGGCCUGUGGGCUGC